AAAAAUACAACCAGCCCUUUUCAUCGGCUUCAGCAUCGCCGACCAGACAAACCCUAGAUGGAUCUCCUCAAGCAAGAACUUCUCAAGAAACGUCAAUCCCUUGCUCAAGACACCGGCGGAAAACGAGUCUUCAAGCGCUCUGAAAUCCAACAAAAAGAAAUACAAAAGCUCCGCGAAGAAGAAAAGCGGGAAUUAGAAGCCAAAGCCCAACGCCAAACCGCAGCUGCCUCUACAACCACAA
This 241-nucleotide unclassified non-coding RNA is filed under the name Hevea brasiliensis (rubber tree). Lineage: Eukaryota; Viridiplantae; Streptophyta; Magnoliopsida; Malpighiales; Euphorbiaceae. The record is from RNAcentral.